UCCAUUGUAGCAUAGGUGGUUAGAGUCUCUCGGCUCUCACCCGAGAGACUCGGGUUCAAGUCCCGGCAACAAAA
Non-coding RNA from Ilex paraguariensis (yerba mate), 74 nucleotides. The record is from the annotation of a GenBank genome assembly. NCBI's taxonomy places the organism in Eukaryota, Viridiplantae, Streptophyta, Magnoliopsida, Aquifoliales, Aquifoliaceae.